This 253-nucleotide ribosomal RNA is filed under the name uncultured bacterium. RNAcentral describes it as "partial 16S ribosomal RNA". It matches the Rfam family "Bacterial small subunit ribosomal RNA", at positions 524 to 776 of the family's 1533-position model. The record is from RNAcentral.
UACGUAGGUGGCAAGCGUUAUCCGGAUUUAUUGGGCGUAAAGCGAGUGCAGGCGGUUCAAUAAGUCUGAUGUGAAAGCCUUCGGCUCAACCGGAGAAUUGCAUCAGAAACUGUUGAACUUGAGUGCAGAAGAGGAGAGUGGAACUCCAUGUGUAGCGGUGAAAUGCGUAGAUAUAUGGAGGAACACCAGUGGCGAAGGCGACGUUCUGGGCCGCAACUGACGCUGAGGCUCGAAAGCAUGGGUAGCGAACAGG